Molecule: ribosomal RNA, 506 nt
Filed under: uncultured bacterium
Lineage: Bacteria
Description: partial 16S ribosomal RNA
Rfam family: Bacterial small subunit ribosomal RNA
Source: RNAcentral
AGUGAACGCUGGCGGUAGGCCUAACACAUGCAAGUCGAACGGCAGCACAGGAGAGCUUGCUCUCUGGGUGGCGAGUGGCGGACGGGUGAGGAAUACAUCGGAAUCUACUUUUUCGUGGGGGAUAACGUAGGGAAACUUACGCUAAUACCGCAUACGACCUACGGGUGAAAGCAGGGGACCUUCGGGCCUUGCGCGAUUGAAUGAGCCGAUGUCGGAUUAGCUAGUUGGCGGGGUAAAGGCCCACCAAGGCGACGAUCCGUAGCUGGUCUGGGGGAAUGAGAAGCCAACGGGGAACGGGGACACGGUCGGGCUCCCUACGGGAGCAGGCGGUGGGGAAUAUUGGACAAUGGGCGCAAGCCUGACCCAGCCAUACGGGGUGGGGGAGGAAGGCCUUGGGUUUGUAAAGCCCUUUUGUUGGGAAAGAAAUCCAGCUGGCUAAUCCCCGGUUGGGAUGACGGUACCAAAAGAAUAAGCACCGGCUAACUUCGUGCCAGCCGCCGCGGUAA